Molecule: ribosomal RNA, 406 nt
Filed under: uncultured bacterium
Lineage: Bacteria
Description: partial 16S ribosomal RNA
Rfam family: Bacterial small subunit ribosomal RNA
Source: RNAcentral
AUUGAACGCUGGCGGCAGGCCUAACACAUGCAAGUCGAGCGAGCGGCGGACGGGUGAGUAAUGUCUGGGAAACUGCCUGAUGGAGGGGGAUAACUACUGGAAACGGUAGCUAAUACCGCAUACCAUCAGAUGUGCCCAGAUGGGAUGAGCUAGUAGGUGGGGUAACGGCUCACCUAGGCGACGGACCCUAGCUGGUCUGAGAGGAUGACCAGCCACACUGGAACUGAGACACGGUCCAGACUCCUACGGGAGGCAGCAGAAGGGAAUAGUGCACAAAGGGCGCAAGCCUGAUGCAGCCAUGCCGCGUGUGUGAAGAAGGCCUUCGGGGUGUAAAGCACUUUCAGCGGGGAGGCGUUACCCGCAUAAGAAGCACCGGCUAACUCCGUGCCAGCAGCCGCGGUAAUUC